Molecule: ribosomal RNA, 620 nt
Filed under: Bacillus sp. (in: firmicutes)
Lineage: Bacteria; Bacillati; Bacillota; Bacilli; Caryophanales; Bacillaceae
Description: bacterial SSU rRNA
Rfam family: Bacterial small subunit ribosomal RNA
Source: RNAcentral
ACGGGAGCUUGCUCCCUGAGAUUAGCGGCGGACGGGUGAGUAACACGUGGGCAACCUGCCUAUAAGACUGGGAUAACUUCGGGAAACCGGAGCUAAUACCGGAUACGUUCUUUUCUCGCAUGAGAGAAGAUGGAAAGACGGUUUACGCUGUCACUUAUAGAUGGGCCCGCGGCGCAUUAGCUAGUUGGUGAGGUAAUGGCUCACCAAGGCGACGAUGCGUAGCCGACCUGAGAGGGUGAUCGGCCACACUGGGACUGAGACACGGCCCAGACUCCUACGGGAGGCAGCAGUAGGGAAUCUUCCGCAAUGGACGAAAGUCUGACGGAGCAACGCCGCGUGAACGAAGAAGGCCUUCGGGUCGUAAAGUUCUGUUGUUAGGGAAGAACAAGUACCAGAGUAACUGCUGGUACCUUGACGGUACCUAACCAGAAAGCCACGGCUAACUACGUGCCAGCAGCCGCGGUAAUACGUAGGUGGCAAGCGUUGUCCGGAAUUAUUGGGCGUAAAGCGCGCGCAGGUGGUUCCUUAAGUCUGAUGUGAAAGCCCACGGCUCAACCGUGGAGGGUCAUUGGAAACUGGGGAACUUGAGUGCAGAAGAGGAAAGUGGAAUUCCAAGUGUA